RNAcentral lists this ribosomal RNA (402 nucleotides) under bacterium. Its description in RNAcentral is "partial 16S ribosomal RNA". It matches the Rfam family "Bacterial small subunit ribosomal RNA", at positions 355 to 775 of the family's 1533-position model. RNAcentral also lists the same sequence under 3 other names. The record is from RNAcentral.
UGGGGAAUAUUGCACAAUGGAGGGAACUCUGAUGCAGCGACGCCGCGUGAACGAAGAAGGCUUUCGAGUCGUAAAGUUCUUUUAUAUGGGAAGAUAAUGACGGUACCAUAAGAAAAAGCCCCGGCUAACUACGUGCCAGCAGCCGCGGUAAUACGUAGGGGGCUAGCGUUGUCCGGAAUCACUGGGCGUAAAGGGUUCGCAGGCGGAAAUGCAAGUCAGGUGUAAAAGGCAGUAGCUUAACUACUGUAAGCAUUUGAAACUGCAUAUCUUGAGAAGAGUAGAGGUAAGUGGAAUUUUUAGUGUAGCGGUGAAAUGCGUAGAUAUUAAAAAGAAUACCGGUGGCGAAGGCGACUUACUGGGCUCAUUCUGACGCUGAGGAACGAAAGCGUGGGUAGCAAACAG